RNAcentral lists this ribosomal RNA (369 nucleotides) under uncultured organism. RNAcentral describes it as "partial 16S ribosomal RNA". It matches the Rfam family "Bacterial small subunit ribosomal RNA", at positions 527 to 896 of the family's 1533-position model. The record is from RNAcentral.
GAACCGUACGAACGUUAUUCGGAAUUACUGGGCUUAAAGGGUGCGUAGGCUGCACGGAAAGUUGGGUGUGAAAGCCCUCAGCUCAACUGAGGAAUUGCAUCCAAAACUGCCGUGCUUGCGGGAGACAGAGGUGAGCGGAACUCAAGGUGGAGCGGUGAAAUGCGUUGAUAUCUUGAGGAACACCGGUGGCGAAAGCGGCUCACUGGGUCUCUUCUGACGCUGAGGCACGAAAGCUAAGGUAGCAAACGGGAUUAGAUACCCCGGUAGUCUUAGCUGUAAACGAUGAGCACUUGAUUGGAGGGUCCUCCAUAGCCUUCCAGUCGUAGCGAAAGUGUUAAGUGCUCCGCCUGGGAGUAUGGUCGCAGGCUG